RNAcentral lists this ribosomal RNA (506 nucleotides) under uncultured bacterium. RNAcentral's name for it is "partial 16S ribosomal RNA". It matches the Rfam family "Bacterial small subunit ribosomal RNA", at positions 30 to 523 of the family's 1533-position model. The record is from RNAcentral.
AUUGAACGCUGGCGGCAUGCCUUACACAUGCAAGUCGAACGGCAGCAUGAUCUAGCUUGCUAGAUUGAUGGCGAGUGGCGAACGGGUGAGUAAUACAUCGGAACGUGCCCUGUAGUGGGGGAUAACUAGUCGAAAGAUUAGCUAAUACCGCAUACGACCUGAGGGUGAAAGGGGGGGACCGCAAGGCCUCAUGCUAUAGGAGCGGCCGAUGUCUGAUUAGCUAGUUGGUGGGGUAAAGGCCCCCCAAGGCGACGAUCAGUUGCUGGUAUGGGAGGACGAUCAGCCACACUGGGCCUGAGACACGGCCCAGACUCCUACGGGAGGCAGCAGUGGGGAAUUUUGGACAAUGGGGGCAACCCUGAUCCAGCAAUGCCGCGUGUGUGAAGAAGGCCUUCGGGUUGUAAAGCACUUUUGUCCGGAAAGAAAUCGCACUUACUAAUAUUAGGUGUGGAUGACGGUACCGGAAGAAUAAGGACCGGCUAACUACGUGCCAGCCGCCGCCGUAA